CCAGAAUAGUAGUUGAAUCAACUUAAAUCAUUGUUUUAUACAAUAUACAAUGUAUAUUCACUUUUACUACCAACUGAUAAAUUAAAACAAUCUUUACCAUUCAGUGAUAACAAGCACUUUUUGUUACAUUUUAAUAUUUUAUGAUGUAUUUAAAUGAGUAGUUAUUGUUGCAAACUCCAUUAGAAAUUUGAAUUGAGAUCAGUUUUGAAAAAAGGGAAAGGGGGAUGUGAAAAAAAAUGGUAGGGGGGGGGGUUAAAUUUUUUGCAUUUCAGAUUUCAUAAAUAAAAAGAAAAUUUCUUCAAACAUUUUUUUGAGAGGAUUAAUAUUCAACAGCAUAGUGAUUGCUCAAAGGCAAAAAAAUUAUUUUAAGUUCAUUAGACCACAUUCAUUCUGUGUCCAAAACCUAUGCUGUGUCAACUAUUUAAUCACAAUCCAAAUUUAGAGCUGAAUCCAGCUUGAAUGUUGUGUCCAUACUUGCCCCAACCGUUCAGGGUUCAACCUCUGCGGUCGUAUAAAGCUGCGCCCUGGGGAGCAUCUGGUUAAUU
Molecule: long non-coding RNA, 545 nt
Filed under: Mytilus galloprovincialis (Mediterranean mussel)
Lineage: Eukaryota; Metazoa; Mollusca; Bivalvia; Mytilida; Mytilidae
Source: RNAcentral